AAUAGGUAUUGAUAAUAUUAUUUUCUCUCUCUUGUGAGUUCAUCUUUUUCAUUUUGUUUUCCAGAUAUAGGACAGAUAUUUAUCUUGUCUACUACAAAAACACUCCCAAAUUCAUAAGCGUGCAUUGACUGAGACGUGACGUGGGAAACAGUAACUCAUAAUUUCUAUUAUGCCUCCCUGGAAGGCUAAGACAUAAAACAAGAAAAGAAGAAAAACUGUGAGAUCGCUGAACUGCCAUCUUUCCUUCCCACAUCUCCUGGCAGCUGGUUAUCGGAGCCUCUCCUCCUGUCACCUGGACACAAAAUACCUGUGUAUUGCUGUACGGAGAAUGAUCUCAGUGGGCGGCUGGCGACCUGUCCUUGGGAAAGAAGUCAGACUGCCGCCUUCAUGGACAGAGUAUCUUCUUCACAAGAGAGACCCCCCCCCCACGUACCUGCAAAUGAGAACAUGGAACCCCUCAGACCUUGGGUGGUCAACUGGAAGGAGUUUUCUUUUCUGAGAGGGGAGAUAUUCUCUGAAAUUCUCAGGUAUCAGUCUGCCCUUUGAAUCAUAUGCUUUUAUUUUUACUUUUUAAAAAAUUGUUGUCUUUUGUUUUUAAUAUCAGUCAUUUUAGGAUAUACAGUUAAACCCUUCCCUCUACCUUCAGACACACACAGACUCUCACUUGGAUACAAACACAUGUGAACACAUGCACACACCAGGCCCGUUGGGAGCGCUCGUUUUCAGUAAAGACCAUUUAAACUUGCUUUACUUACCCUGCUUGGAACUGUCCACUCUAGGUGAGAGGGGAAAUACAGAAUUAAAGAGGGAAAUCUUCCCUAUCCUUUCAUGAUUUAUUGCAUAUGUAAUUAAUCUCUGUUCUUUGUGAAGAGAAAAAUAGCCAGAGACAAUUGAGCAACUGUAAUCUGUGUAACAAUGACCCUGUUCCACUGGUCCUGCUUCUAGCCCUGCCCUUACAACCAUCCCCACCACCUGCCACCCACAGGGCAGGCAAGCCCCUGAGGGAGAGAGCAGGCAGCAUGUGCCAGACCACCACCAGCUCCCCUCAGACCAGAUAGCCCAGGCCCCUGAGCCCAAAGGCCUUGGGACCAGCCAGGCUUCCAGCCCCGGGCCCUCAGCCAUCCUCCUGGCAAGCAAACCCUGGGGACGGACUGCUCCCGUGGGGGCUCCGGCCGCAGCUCCCAAGGCCUCAGAAAGGAGAAGUCCUGGGCACGGCGGUCCGGUGCCUCAACA
This 1233-nucleotide long non-coding RNA is filed under the name Vombatus ursinus (common wombat). RNAcentral describes it as "lncRNA (ENSVURG00010010315.1)". The record is from RNAcentral. Lineage: Eukaryota; Metazoa; Chordata; Mammalia; Diprotodontia; Vombatidae.